This 1187-nucleotide long non-coding RNA is filed under the name Homo sapiens (human). Its description in RNAcentral is "HSALNT0052257". The record is from RNAcentral. Lineage: Eukaryota; Metazoa; Chordata; Mammalia; Primates; Hominidae.
CAGCCACCCAAGCUGCAGGUGUGGAUCCGAGCCUCCCUGUGCUCUUAGGGGAGGGCCAGGAGCAGGGAGGAUCUGCCUUCCCGGGUGCCAGUGUGGCUGCUGCCGCCCUCCUAGGUGCAGGAGCCGGGUGUCUCUGCAGCCUGCACCUUUGGAGGCCCCAGGAAGGAAACCCCUCUCCCCUAUCUUUGCAGGCUCAAAGAUGUCUGCCCGGACUCUCUCCAUUCCCGGCAUCUGCUCCCAUCUCCAAGCAGGGUUGGGGUCGAGCCCCAGGGCCAUGAAUGGCAGCAGGAGGCAGAGUUCUGAACGGAAUGGGUCCUCAGUAAGGCCUCACCUUUGGGCCAGGGAGAGCCUGAAGGCUGGGCUCUUCUGGGCCCUCCCAUGGUCAUUCAUGGGCUAGUAAGCAUGCACUUCUUCCCCUCUGAGGUCCAUAAAAGCCCUGAGCUCAGCCAGAGGAGGGCAGAGGAUGGACAGAGGAUGAAGAGGGCAGAGAGAUGACGGGACCCGACGACCACUAGCUGUAGAUAGCUGCAGAGAGGAGCAGAUAGCUGCAGAGAUGAGUACCAUCUCAGCUGAUAGCUGAGGAUGAUGGGAAGACAAGCUGCCCAGAGGAGUACCCUCUCUGCUGAGGCUGCAGACAGUGACCUGCUGGCAGAGAGAAGCUGCCUCCUCUGCUGAGAACUUCAGAGACCUGCAGAGACAUGGGAAUGACUUGCCUGUGGAGAGGAGACACCCUCUCGAGGGCCUCCUCUCUGCUAGGAGCUGAACACUCUGCUGGACGAACUGCCUACAGAGAGGAGCUACCCACUCCUCUGAGCUAUCCUAACACUAAAUAAAACUCUUCUACACCCUUCACUUGUCUGCGUACCUCAUUCUUUCUGGAUGCAGGACAAGGGCUCAGGCAAAAGUGAUGUGGCCACAGAGGUUUCCAGCCAGAAAAAUCAACACCCAGAGAUCCCAUAACACUUGGUGCCCUGAGCUUACCUGAGGACUGUGACAGGAACUACUGGAAUACUGAAGACAUCAUAAGCAACCUGCCAUGAUGUGUGUAGAUAACCGGACACUGAUCUCCACAAGCAGAGAGAGCAGGGCAAGGAACUCACGAAGAGCAGCAGAUGAACUGGCUUCUGUGUUUGCCCAAACAAUAUCCUGUUUUGACACCACUCAACAUAAUUUGAAACAAAUAGGCA